This 420-nucleotide ribosomal RNA is filed under the name uncultured bacterium. RNAcentral describes it as "bacterial SSU rRNA". It matches the Rfam family "Bacterial small subunit ribosomal RNA", at positions 356 to 773 of the family's 1533-position model. The record is from RNAcentral.
GAGGAAUAUUGGUCAAUGGGCGUAAGCCUGAACCAGCCAUCCCGCGUGCAGGAAGAAGGCGCUAUGCGUUGUAAACUGCUUUUCCAGGGGAAGAAAACUUUCGUCGAGACGAGACUUGCCGGUACCCUGGGAAUAAGCAUCGGCUAACUCCGUGCCAGCAGCCGCGGUAAUACGGAGGAUGCAAGCGUUAUCCGGAUUUAUUGGGUUUAAAGGGUGCGUAGGCGGAUUAAUAAGUCAGUGGUGAAAACCUGCAGCUUAACUGUAGACCUGCCAUUGAUACUGUUAGUCUUGAGUACGGUCAAGGUAGGCGGAAUGUGUAAUGUAGCGGUGAAAUGCUUAGAUAUUACACAGAACACCGAUUGCGAAGGCAGCUUACUGGGCCAUUACUGACGCUGAUGCACGAAAGCGUGGGGAGCGAAC